CAGUCUCCGUAAAACGGCCAUAACUUCCUCCACAGAACUCCGAUUCAGACGAAUCAGGCGGCCACGGAAAGCUCUCUCGAAGACGAAGAAGUCGUAUUUCUGGGCGAAAUACGAUUUGAGGACGUUUGAGGCUUCAAACGAAGGCUUGAACCUGACUGGUCUGUUCAGAUGCGAAUCUGCGAAUUCUUCUGAAUUCUUCAGGUAUUUCUGAACUCCAACGUGCAGCUGUUAAAUUCAUAGGAGCAUGUUAGGAUUAAUCGUUGUAUGAUAAAUUAAUAAUAAUCCAAGAAACGAUCAUCGGGCAAAGCGGAACGUUAAUUCAGUUUAAUAUUCCUUCA
This 338-nucleotide long non-coding RNA is filed under the name Salvia miltiorrhiza (redroot sage). Its description in RNAcentral is "long non-coding RNA (SMIL_LNC012078)". The record is from RNAcentral. Lineage: Eukaryota; Viridiplantae; Streptophyta; Magnoliopsida; Lamiales; Lamiaceae.